Long non-coding RNA from Octopus bimaculoides (California two-spot octopus), 291 nucleotides. Lineage: Eukaryota; Metazoa; Mollusca; Cephalopoda; Octopoda; Octopodidae. The record is from RefSeq and is a predicted model, not a curated record.
UAAUUAUACCAUUAGUAUACUUGGUACAGACACAGCAUCACAACAUUUACUCACUAAAGCCCAUAAGUCAAUGGCAGCUAUGCUUUAUAAGCUUGGAAGACCAGAUCUUUCAGCUGAUUCUGUCCAACAGUUGAUUGUCAAGAAGAAUGGGAGUGGUAUCCAUGACAAUCAGUUGCAGACAGAAUUACGGAAUUAUCUUCAGAAAUCUAGUAACAAACAAGUUUUGCAUCCAUUGAUUCGCCCACCACCAAAAUGGAUAGGUUACUAUGACUUUGAGAAAUUGUGUCGGGC